This 263-nucleotide ribosomal RNA is filed under the name uncultured bacterium. RNAcentral describes it as "partial 16S rRNA". It matches the Rfam family "Bacterial small subunit ribosomal RNA", at positions 1156 to 1417 of the family's 1533-position model. The record is from RNAcentral.
CGAUAAGCCGCGAGGAAGGUGGGGAUGACGUCAAGUCNUCAUGGCCCUUACGGGNUGGGCUACACACGUGCUACAAUGGCGGUGACAAUGGGAUGCUAAGGGGCGACCCUUCGCAAAUNUCAAAAAGCCGUCUCAGUUCGGAUUGGGCUCUGCAANUCGGGCCCAUGAAGUUGGAAUCGCUAGUAAUCGUGGAUCAGCACGCCACGGUGAAUACGUUUCCCGGGCNUUGUACACACCGCCCGUCACACCAUGGGAGUUGGUUU